GAGUGAAGGGGGGGGUCAGUCUGCUACUACAUAUGGACCGAGAGAGCACCAUUCAGUGGGUGUCCACAUUAGAUCUCCUGAACUUCCAUUGGACACAAACUCUUACUGAUGUGCAGAAUAAACAGUACAAUUUUUAUCUUUUUGAGGCUCUUCUUCUUGCCCGAUGAGAGGAAAGACAGAAACAGAUCUUGUCUUUCAGGCCAGUCUCUUGUAAUCCUUAGCCAUGGAAAAGAUCACUCCACAGGCAGGAAAGGCAGUAUUGUAGUGCAAGCAACCAGUUCUUCAGCCAGGCCGUGGAUAAAAAUUGAUAAAGCACCUGGCCAACAUGAACACAGAACAGGAAACUGAUAAGAAAAGGAAGCUACUGCAAACUAAAUACUGGAUGUUUCUGAUGAAAAUGUCUUUCAUUUCUACAUCUUCAGACAUGUAAUUUUCCCUUUAGCUUAAAACAUCAUGAAUGAGACUAUGGGUUUUUAUAGUUCGUAUGCACCAUCUAACCCAGUAGAACAGGCCUUAUAUGGCCUAAGGUCACCAACAUUGAGCUACUAAAAAGAGCACAGAAAAUAUGUUGUCUCCAUUGAUCGCAGCUGUAACAAUGGCAGCCCCAGUUUCUACUUUUUAUUUAAUUUCCUCUGGUAAUGAGCAUCAAGACCCUUAUCUACAACAGGUUUGUCAACUUCUGGUUGCAGUCAUUUAUCUAUCACAGUACAACUCUAGUCUUUGACUUGGCCUUGAAUAUAAUCUCUUUAAAAGUCCCUUUCUGCUAUUCUGUUGAAGUGAUAAUAAUUAAUUUAGCAGAACUAUAUACAAAUUUGGCUGAUUAAAAAGCUGCACUGUAUAUCAGAACAAAUGAGAUCAGAGCUGAAGCUAUCCAUGAUCUUUCGUAGCAGUCCUAAAGCAUUAAUGUCAAAGUACAAACAUACUGUACAGAAACAAUUAUUGGUCUGUGCACUGCUAAUAAAUCAUUGAGUAAAUAUUAUGAAUUUGUGCUAAGUUCACGAUAGCACUUCAAGUGAGGGAGUUGUGAGCAAAAGAGGAAAAAAACU
Molecule: long non-coding RNA, 1046 nt
Organism: Gallus gallus (chicken)
Lineage: Eukaryota; Metazoa; Chordata; Aves; Galliformes; Phasianidae
Exons: 4
Source: RefSeq, a predicted model, not a curated record